CCUACGGGCGGCAGCAGUGGGGAAUAUUGCACAAUGGGGGAAACCCUGAUGCAGCGACGCCGCGUGAGUGAAGAAGUACUUCGUUAUGUAAAGCUCUAUCAGCAGGGAAGAACAUGACGGUACCUGAGUAAGAAGCCCCGGCUAACUACGUGCCAGCAGCCGCGGUAAUACGUAGGGGGCAAGCGUUAUCCGGAUUUACUGGGUUAAAAGGGUGCGUAGGGGGAAUGCCAAGUCAGCGGUAAAAGCUCGGGGCUAAACCUCGCUCGGCCGUUGCAACUGGCGUUCUUGGGUGGGCGAGAAGUAUGCGGAAUGCGUGGUGUGGCGGUGAAAUGCAUAG
Molecule: ribosomal RNA, 337 nt
Filed under: uncultured bacterium
Lineage: Bacteria
Description: partial 16S ribosomal RNA
Rfam family: Bacterial small subunit ribosomal RNA
Source: RNAcentral